GAGGGGUCAAUCACAUCUUGAUCUACGCAUAAACUUUGUAAGUACUUGACUAUACCCAGUAGCCUUCCUUCACUACAUUAGAAAUGCAGAUAGUCUGGCAUCAAAGUAUAGUGGGUUGCUUGCAAGUCACUAUGAUGAUCUCAGAUCUGAGGGAUACUUGUGCCCAUACGCUUCGCGAGCUAUUCUUGACAGCAGAGUGCUCAGCAAGUG
Molecule: long non-coding RNA, 210 nt
Filed under: Elaeis guineensis (African oil palm)
Lineage: Eukaryota; Viridiplantae; Streptophyta; Magnoliopsida; Arecales; Arecaceae
Description: long non-coding RNA (EGUI_LNC062866)
Source: RNAcentral